RNAcentral lists this ribosomal RNA (754 nucleotides) under uncultured bacterium. RNAcentral describes it as "bacterial SSU rRNA". It matches the Rfam family "Bacterial small subunit ribosomal RNA", at positions 12 to 811 of the family's 1533-position model. The record is from RNAcentral.
UUUGAUCCUGGCUCAGAACGAACGCUGGCGCAGGCCUCAAGCCUGCAAGUCUAGGGGAUGUAGCAAUACAUCACCGGCGGACGGGUGCGUAACGCGUGGGAAUGUACGUAUUGGUUCGGAACAACUGAGGGAAACUUCAGCUAAUACCGAAUGUGCCCGAAAGGGGAAAGAUUUAUCGCCAAUGGAUCAGCCCGCGUAGGAUUAGCUAGUUGGUGAGGUAAUGGCUCACCAAGGCUCCGAUCCUUAGCUGUUCUGAGAGGAAGAUCAGCCACACUGGGACUGAGACACGGCCCAGACUCCUACGGGAGGCAGCAGUUGGGAAUCUUGGACAAUGGGGGAAACCCUGAUCCAGCCAUGCCGCGUGAGUGAUGAAGGCCUUCGGGUUGUAAAACUCUUUCGACGGGGACGAUAAUGACGGUACCCGUAGAAGAAGCUCCGGCUAACUUCGUGCCAGCAGCCGCGGUAAUACGAAGGGGGCUAGCGUUGUUCGGAAUUACUGGGCGUAAAGCGCGCGCAGGCGGCUAUCCAAGUCAGUGGUGAAAGCCCGGAGCUCAACUCCGGAACUGCCAUUGAAACUGUUUAGCUUGAGGACGAGAGAGGUGAGUGGAAUUCCCAGUGUAGAGGUGAAAUUCGUAGAUAUUGGGAAGAACACCGGUGGCGAAGGCGGCUCACUGGCUCGUAUCUGACGCUCAGGCGCGAUAGCGUGGGGAUCAAACAGGAUUAGAUACCCUGGUAGUCCACGCCGUAAACGAUG